CGCUGAACUUAAGCAUAUCAAUAAGCGGAGGAAAAGAAACCAACAGGGAUUGCCUCAGUAACGGCGAGUGAAGCGGCAACAGCUCAAAUUUGAAAUCUGGCCCCCAGGCCCGAGUUGUAAUUUGUAGAGGAUGCUUCUGGCGACGCGCCUUCCGAGUUCCCUGGAACGGGACGCCAAAGAGGGUGAGAGCCCCGUCCGGUCGUGCGCCUAGCCUCUGUGAAGCUCCUUCGACGAGUCGAGUAGUUUGGGAAUGCUGCUCUAAAUGGGAGGUAUACGUCUUCUAAAGCUAAAUACCGGCCAGAGACCGAUAGCGCACAAGUAGAGUGAUCGAAAGAUGAAAAGCACUUUGAAAAGAGGGUUAAAUAGUACGUGAAAUUGCUGAAAGGGAAGCGCUUAUGACCAGACUUGGGCUUGGUGAAUCAUCCGGCGUUCUCGCCGGUGCACUUUGCCGGUCCAGGCCAGCAUCAGUUCGUCUCGGGGGAUAAAGGCUUCGGGAAAGUAGCUCCCUCGGGAGUGUUAUAGACCGUUGCGCAAUACCCUGAGGUGGACUGAGGUACGCGU
RNAcentral lists this ribosomal RNA (561 nucleotides) under Geosmithia sp. CCF3703. Its description in RNAcentral is "eukaryotic LSU rRNA". It matches the Rfam family "Eukaryotic large subunit ribosomal RNA", at positions 26 to 598 of the family's 3401-position model. RNAcentral also lists the same sequence under 2 other names. The record is from RNAcentral. Lineage: Eukaryota; Fungi; Ascomycota; Sordariomycetes; Hypocreales; Bionectriaceae.